CAAACCCGCGCUCGCUGUACCAGGGGAAGCAACAGCGUUUUAACAGCAAACCCUCCCCCAAGUACCUUGUAACUAUUUUUAUGUGGCGUAAUUACAGCGGGAGAUAAAACAGCUGUUACAUCCCGGGCGGGGGGGGGAAGGGCAGCUGGUGAGUCACGUCAGUUAACAAGGAGCUGGUGUCAGCCCGAGGCUGGCCACUCGCUCCGGGAUGGGUGACCCUUGGGGCUGGUGGCCGCUCCAUGGCGAGUGCGCCUGUAGAAGGGAACCAGCAUGGCUGACAGGCGUGCUGCUUCUCAGCAGAAGCACAUAAAAAAUGGAGGGGGAGCUUGCCUGGCCAAGAGACAGGUGGGAGGCAGACCUGGAUUCUCUGUGAACAGGGGCACUUGAGGAGACAAGAAGGAGGAAAAUAUUUAACUGGCUUGAAACACUGACAAAACGUGGACUUCUGUGGAGGCAAGGCCAAGCUUUACAGGACUCUCGGACUCUGUAAAGAUGGGAAGAG
Long non-coding RNA from Neopelma chrysocephalum (saffron-crested tyrant-manakin), 502 nucleotides. RefSeq lists it as uncharacterized. NCBI's taxonomy places the organism in Eukaryota, Metazoa, Chordata, Aves, Passeriformes, Pipridae. The transcript is spliced from 4 exons. The record is from RefSeq and is a predicted model, not a curated record.